UUUUAGCCCUGAUCGAAACGGUAUCCUUUUGCUGUGGGGUUCACAGCAAAAGAUUUAGUGUAGAGCGGGACUGAUC
Molecule: small RNA, 76 nt
Filed under: Flavobacterium aquidurense
Lineage: Bacteria; Pseudomonadati; Bacteroidota; Flavobacteriia; Flavobacteriales; Flavobacteriaceae
Description: Flavo-1 RNA
Rfam family: Flavo-1 RNA
Source: RNAcentral